UGAUCCAGCCAUGCCGCGUGCAGGAUGAAGGUCUAUGGAUUGUAAACUGCUUUUGUAAGGGAAGAAUAAGGAGUACGUGUACUUUGAUGACGGUACCUUACGAAUAAGCAUCGGCUAACUCCGUGCCAGCAGCCGCGGUAAUACGGAGGAUGCGAGCGUUAUCCGGAAUCAUUGGGUUUAAAGGGUCCGUAGGCGGGCUGAUAAGUCAGAGGUGAAAGCGCCUAGCUCAACUAAGCAACUGCCUUUGAAGCUGUCAGUCUUGAAUGAUUGUGAAGUAGUUGGAAUGUGUAGUGUAGCGGUGAAAUGCUUAGAUAUUACACAGAACACCGAUAGCGAAGGCAUAUUACUAACAAUUUAUUGACGCUGAUGGACGAAAGCGUGGGGAGCGAACAGGAUUAGAUACCCUGGUAGUCCACGCUGUAAACGAUGGAUACUAGCUGUUUGGAGCAAUCUGAGUGGCUAAGCGAAGUGAUAAGUAUCCCACCUGGGGAGUACGCAC
This 499-nucleotide ribosomal RNA is filed under the name Capnocytophaga sputigena. Its description in RNAcentral is "bacterial SSU rRNA". It matches the Rfam family "Bacterial small subunit ribosomal RNA", at positions 384 to 887 of the family's 1533-position model. Lineage: Bacteria; Pseudomonadati; Bacteroidota; Flavobacteriia; Flavobacteriales; Flavobacteriaceae. The record is from RNAcentral.